GGGGAACCAGGACUUUUACUGUGAAAAAAUUAGAGUGCUCCAGGCAGGCCUAUGCUCGAAUACAUUAGCAUGGAAUAAUAGAAUAGGACGUGCGGUUCUAUUUUGUUGGUUUCUAGGACCGCCGUAAUGAUUAAUAGGGAUAGUCGGGGGCGUCAGUAUUCAGCUGUCAGAGGUGAAAUUCUUGGAUUUGCUGAAGACUAACUACUGCGAAAGCAUUCGCCAAGGAUGUUUUCAUUAAUCAGGGAACGAAAGUUAGGGGAUCGAAGACGAUCAGAUACCGUCGUAGUCUUAACCAUAAACUAUGCCGACUAGGGAUCGGGCGGGGUUCUAUGAUGACCCGCUCGGCACCUUACGAGAAAUCAAAGUUUUUGGGUUCUGGGGGGAGUAUGGUCGCAAGGCUGAAACUUAAAGAAAUUGACGGAAGGGCACCACAAGGCGUGGAGCCUGCGGCUUAAUUUGACACAACACGGGGAAACUCACCAGGUCCAGACAAAAUAAGGAUUGACAGAUUGAGAGCUCUUUCUUGAUCUUUUGGAUGGUGGUGCAUGGCCGUUCUUAGUUGGUGGAGUGAUUUGUCUGCUUAAUUGCGAUAACGAACGAGACCU
Molecule: ribosomal RNA, 605 nt
Filed under: uncultured Trichocomaceae
Lineage: Eukaryota; Fungi; Ascomycota; Eurotiomycetes; Eurotiales; Trichocomaceae
Description: SSU rRNA
Rfam family: Eukaryotic small subunit ribosomal RNA
Source: RNAcentral